UGCGCCUUGCCAGCCCGCUCAGAAACUCAAAGGAAUUGACGGGGGCCCGCACAAGCGGUGGAGCAUGUGGUUUUAAUUCGAUGAUACGCGAGGAACCUUACCCGGGGCUUGAAAUGCAUCUGACCGGCCUUGAAAGAGGUUUUCCCUUCGGGGCAGAUGUGUAGGUGCUGCAUGGUUGUCGUCAGCUCGUGCCGUGAGGUGUCGGGUUAAGUCCCAUAACGAGCGCAACCCCUACCUUUAGUUGCCAUCAGGUUAAGCUGGGGACUCUAAAGGAACUGCCUACGCAAGUAGUGAGGAAGGCGGGGAUGACGUCAAAUCAGCACGGCCCUUACGUCCAGGGCUACACACGUGCUACAAUGGCCGAUACAGAGGGCAGCUACCUGGUGACAGGAUGCAAAUCUCCAAAGUCGGUCUCAGUUCGGAUCGGAGUCUGCAACCCGACUCCGUGAAGUUGGAUUCGCUAGUAAUCGCGCAUCAGCCAUGGCGCGGUGAAUACGUUCCCGGGCCUU
This 509-nucleotide ribosomal RNA is filed under the name uncultured Sphingobacteriales bacterium. RNAcentral describes it as "bacterial SSU rRNA". It matches the Rfam family "Bacterial small subunit ribosomal RNA", at positions 903 to 1382 of the family's 1533-position model. The record is from RNAcentral. Lineage: Bacteria; Pseudomonadati; Bacteroidota; Sphingobacteriia; Sphingobacteriales.